RNAcentral lists this ribosomal RNA (550 nucleotides) under uncultured Dechloromonas sp. RNAcentral's name for it is "bacterial SSU rRNA". It matches the Rfam family "Bacterial small subunit ribosomal RNA", at positions 355 to 896 of the family's 1533-position model. Lineage: Bacteria; Pseudomonadati; Pseudomonadota; Betaproteobacteria; Rhodocyclales; Azonexaceae. The record is from RNAcentral.
UGGGGAAUUUUGGACAAUGGGGGCAACCCCGAUCCAGCCAUGCCGCGUGAGUGAAGAAGGCCUUCGGGUUGUAAAGCUCUUUCGGCCGGGAAGAAAUCGCAUAGGUUAAUACCCUGUGUGGAUGACGGUACCGGAAUAAGAAGCACCGGCUAACUACGUGCCAGCAGCCGCGGUAAUACGUAGGGUGCGAGCGUUAAUCGGAAUUACUGGGCGUAAAGCGUGCGCAGGCGGUUUCGUAAGACAGAGGUGAAAUCCCCGGGCUCAACCUGGGAACUGCCUUUGUGACUGCGAAGCUAGAGUACGGCAGAGGGGGGUGGAAUUCCACGUGUAGCAGUGAAAUGCGUAGAGAUGUGGAGGAACACCGAUGGCGAAGGCAGCCCCCUGGGCCGAUACUGACGCUCAUGCACGAAAGCGUGGGUAGCAAACAGGAUUAGAUACCCUGGUAGUCCACGCCCUAAACGAUGUCAACUAGGUGUUGGGUGGGUAAAACCAUUUAGUACCGUAGCUAACGCGUGAAGUUGACCGCCUGGGGAGUACGGCCGCAAGGUUA